This 463-nucleotide ribosomal RNA is filed under the name uncultured bacterium. RNAcentral's name for it is "partial 16S ribosomal RNA". It matches the Rfam family "Bacterial small subunit ribosomal RNA", at positions 339 to 795 of the family's 1533-position model. The record is from RNAcentral.
CUACGGGCCGCUGCAGUGGGGAAUUUUGGACAAUGGGCGCAAGCCUGAUCCAGCCAUUCCGCGUGAGUGAAGAAGGCCUUCGGGUUGUAAAGCUCUUUCGCAAGGGAAGAAAACUUAUCCUCUAACAUAGGGUGAGGUUGACGGUACCUUGAUAAGAAGCACCGGCUAACUACGUGCCAGCAGCCGCGGUAAUACGUAGGGUGCGAGCGUUAAUCGGAAUUACUGGGCGUAAAGCGUGCGCAGGCUGUUUUGUAAGUCAGAUGUGAAAUCCCCGAGCUCAACUUGGGAACUGCGUUUGAAACUACAAGACUAGAAUAUGUCAGAGGGGGGUAGAAUUCCAUGUGUAGCAGUGAAAUGCGUAGAGAUGUGGAGGAAUACCAAUGGCGAAGGCAGCCCCCUGGGAUAAUAUUGACGCUCAUGCACGAAAGCGUGGGGAGCAAACAGGGUUAAUACCCCGGUAGUC